CGAAAACUUUACACCGCUGGAAACCGUGAUAAGGGGACACCGAGUGCCAGCAUCAUAUGCUGACUGUCCAGGUGUGUAAACUACACCUGUUAGCAAGGGCCGGGCAAGACCGGUGCCAGCCGCCGCGGUAACACCGGCGGCCCGAGUGGUGAUCGUGAUUAUUGGGUCUAAAGGGUCCGUAGCCGGUUUGGUCAGUCCUCCGGGAAAUCUGACGGCUCAACCGUUAGGCUUUCGGGGGAUACUGCCAGGCUUGGAACCGGGAGAGGUAAGAGGUACUACAGGGGUAGGAGUGAAAUCUUGUAAUCCCUGUGGGACCACCUGUGGCGAAGGCGUCUUACCAGAACGGGUUCGACGGUGAGGGACGAAAGCUGGGGGCACGAACCGGAUUAGAUACCCGGGUAGUCCCAGCCGUAAACGAUGCUCGCUAGGUGUCAGGCAUGGCGCGACCGUGUCUGGUGCCGCAGGGAAGCCGUGAAGCGAGCCACCUGGGAAGUACGGCCGCAAGGCUGAAACUUAAAGGAAUUGGCGGGGGAGCAC
This 537-nucleotide ribosomal RNA is filed under the name uncultured archaeon. RNAcentral's name for it is "bacterial SSU rRNA". It matches the Rfam family "Archaeal small subunit ribosomal RNA", at positions 342 to 879 of the family's 1478-position model. The record is from RNAcentral.